RNAcentral lists this ribosomal RNA (1240 nucleotides) under metagenome. Its description in RNAcentral is "bacterial LSU rRNA". It matches the Rfam family "Bacterial large subunit ribosomal RNA", at positions 1564 to 2813 of the family's 2925-position model. The record is from RNAcentral.
UGAGUACGAGAUGCUACGGCAUCGAAGCAGUCUAUGUCAUACUUCCAAGAAAAGCUUGCACUGUCAGAAACAGAUAAUGCCUGUACCAUAACCGACACAGGUGGGUAGGUAGAGUAUACUAAGGGGCGCGAGAUAACUCUCUCUAAGGAACUCGGCAAAAUGACUCCGUAACUUCGGGAGAAGGAGUGCCUUAUUUUUAAGGUUGCAAUAACAAGAUCCAAGCAACUGUUUACCAAAAACACAGGUCUCCGCUAAGUCGUAAGACGAUGUAUGGGGGCUGACGCCUGCCCAGUGCCAGAAGGUUAAAGAAGUCGGUUAGCAUUCGCGAAGCUGGUAACUGAAGCCCUGGUGAACGGCGGCCGUAACGAUAACGGUCCUAAGGUAGCGAAAUUCCUUGUCGGGUAAGUUCCGACCCGCACGAAAGGCGUAAUGAUUUGGAUACUGUCUCGGAGAGGGGCUCGGUGAAAUAGACUUGUCUGUGAAGAUGCGGACUACCUGCACCUGGACAGAAAGACCCUAUGAAGCUUUACUGUAACUUGAAAUUGAAAUUGGACUUUAUUUGCGCAGUAUAGGUGGGAGGCGUUGAAAAUAUUCUUGCGGGAAUAUUGGAGCCAUCAGUGAGAUACCACUCUUGUAAUGUUAGAUUUCUAACUUUAUAUCAUUAUCUGGUUAAAGAACAGUUUCAGGCGGGCAGUUUGACUGGGGCGGUCGCCUCCCAAAUGGUAACGGAGGCGCACAAAGGUUUCCUCUGAACGGGUAGAAAUCGUAUCUAGAGUGUAAAGGCAUAAGGAAGCUUGACUGUGAGACCUACAAGUCGAGCAGGGACGAAAGUCGGUCUUAGUGAUCUGACGGUGCUGAGUGGAAAGGCCGUCACUCAACGGAUAAAAGUUACUCUAAGGAUAACAGGCUGAUCUCCCCCAAGAGUUCACAUCGACGGGGAGGUUUGGCACCUCGAUGUCGGCUCAUCGCAUCCUGGGGCGGUAGUACGUCCCAAGGGUUGGGCUGUUCGCCCAUGAAAGCGGUACGCGAGCUGGGUUCAGAACGUCGUGAGACAGUUCGGUCCAUAUCCGGUGUAGGCGUUAGAAUAUUGAGAGGAGCCUUCUUUAGUACGAGAGGACCGAGAAGGACAUACCUCUGGUGUACCAGUUAUCGUGCCAACGGUAAACGCUGGGUAGCUAUGUAUGGAGUGGAUAACCGCUGAAAGCAUCUAAGUGGGAAGCCCACCUCAAGAUAAGUAUUC